Molecule: ribosomal RNA, 550 nt
Filed under: uncultured bacterium
Lineage: Bacteria
Description: bacterial SSU rRNA
Rfam family: Bacterial small subunit ribosomal RNA
Source: RNAcentral
UAGGGAAUCUUCGGCAAUGGACGAAAGUCUGACCGAGCAACGCCGCGUGAGUGAAGAAGGUUUUCGGAUCGUAAAACUCUGUUGUUAGAGAAGAACAAGGACGUUAGUAACUGAACGUCCCCUGACGGUAUCUAACCAGAAAGCCACGGCUAACUACGUGCCAGCAGCCGCGGUAAUACGUAGGUGGCAAGCGUUGUCCGGAUUUAUUGGGCGUAAAGCGAGCGCAGGCGGUUUCUUAAGUCUGAUGUGAAAGCCCCCGGCUCAACCGGGGAGGGUCAUUGGAAACUGGGAGACUUGAGUGCAGAAGAGGAGAGUGGAAUUCCAUGUGUAGCGGUGAAAUGCGUAGAUAUAUGAAGGAACACCAGUGGCGAAGGCGGCUCUCUGGUCCGUAACUGACGCUGAGGCUCGAAAGCGUGGGGAGCAAACAGGAUUAGAUACCCUGGUAGUCCACGCCGUAAACGAUGAGUGCUAAGUGUUGGAGGGUUUCCGCCCUUCAGUGCUGCAGCAAACGCAUUAAGCACUCCGCCUGGGGAGUACGACCGCAAGGUUG